CGGCGCGUGAAGCGGGAUGCGCUCCCCUUUAAAAUCUGGCUGGUUUCCUAGUCCGAAUUGUAGUUUAUAGAAGCGUUUUCGGUGGCAGCCUGGGUAUAAAUCCUUUGGAAUAGGGUAUCAUAGAGGGUGAGAAUCCCGUCUUUGACUCAGUGCAUGCUACUAUGUGAUACGUUUUCAAAGAGUCGAGUUGUUUGGGA
RNAcentral lists this ribosomal RNA (197 nucleotides) under Mortierella sp. RNAcentral's name for it is "partial large subunit ribosomal RNA". It matches the Rfam family "Eukaryotic large subunit ribosomal RNA", at positions 87 to 279 of the family's 3401-position model. The record is from RNAcentral. Lineage: Eukaryota; Fungi; Mortierellomycota; Mortierellomycetes; Mortierellales; Mortierellaceae.